UACGGGGGGGGUAAGCGUUGUUCGGAAUUACUGGGCGUAAAGGGCUCGUAGGCGGCCAGCUAAGUCAGACGUGAAAUCCCUCAGCUUAACUGGGGAACUGCGUCUGACACUGGAUGGCUUGGAUUCGGGAGAGGAAUGCGGAAUUCCAGGUGUAGCGGUGAAAUGCGUAGAUAUCUGGAGGAACACCGGUGGCGAAGGCGGCAUUCUGGACCGAUAUUGACGCUGAGGAGCGAAAGCCAGGGGAGCAAACGGG
Molecule: ribosomal RNA, 253 nt
Filed under: uncultured bacterium
Lineage: Bacteria
Description: partial 16S ribosomal RNA
Rfam family: Bacterial small subunit ribosomal RNA
Source: RNAcentral